GGCACAACGGGGUCUCCGAAGCUCAUGGACGUGCYGCCCGCGGCACCGCCACCGGCCCCCUCACCUUCUUGCUGCCGUGCGAGGAGAAGCUGUGCGAGUGCCGCGGCAGGCUGCCCCCGCUCAGGUCCAGCUGCGGCUUCCAGACCUCCCCGUUGUCGCUGCCCAGCGACUUGGUGGGCGACGUGCCGGAGCCGAGCAGGACGCCGCCGUGCACCAUCUCCUCCGUGCACGUCAGCCGCAGGCUGCACAGGUACUCAUCCGUCUCCUUGUCCACCACCAGCAAGCGGGUCUCCGUCUCCACGGCCUUGAUGCGCUGCACGACCUGGAAGGGAGGAGGAGAGCUGAGCAGAAGCCCCCGGCCGCUGCCCCGGGGUCCCGUGGGGGCACAGCGGAGCGUCUCACUGAGCACGCUUUGCCCCGCAGCCCCCGAGCGCCUGUCCGUGGGGGUCUGUCCGGGAAGGGCAGAGUGCCAGGUGCACCCUUCGGUGUCCCGCACCGAGCCAACGCAUCGGUGCAUCCCCAGGCUGGUUUAUGCAAGAAACGACCCGAUCUGCACAUUCACCCCAGUUCUGUGCUAYGGGAGAGCAGCGAUCAGGGCCAGCAGAGCCAGCGAUGGGGCCGGGAGCAGGAACCAGGCCCAGCUCUGCUGGACAGGGACCGAUGUCCACAUGCAGCCUCGGUUUUCCAUGUUUUUUUGUGGCUGGCGGAUGCUCUGGAAGGGGCUCGCAGCAUCGGCCUGGGGCAGCAGAAGGAGGUGAGCGAGACGGUUCACGCACAGGGAAUCGAGGGCUUUCCCACCAUGCAGCCUCAGGCCAGGCGCUCCCUGCCCCGCUUCGCCCCGCGCACCGAAGGGCCGGGAGGUAAAACCAGGGGCUCGGAGAGGCUCCAACAGGCCAAACACCACCCUCGCCCUGCACAAGCCUUCAUCCCGCAGAGGAGGAGGAGSAGCAGCACCGCUGACCUUUCUUGAGGGGCAGAGCCCUCCGCGGUUCCCAGGGAACACGGCCCCUUCCUGCCGGCAUCGCGGCAGCCCUGGG
Molecule: long non-coding RNA, 1037 nt
Filed under: Dromaius novaehollandiae (emu)
Lineage: Eukaryota; Metazoa; Chordata; Aves; Casuariiformes; Dromaiidae
Description: lncRNA (ENSDNVG00000013523.1)
Source: RNAcentral